RNAcentral lists this ribosomal RNA (253 nucleotides) under uncultured bacterium. RNAcentral's name for it is "partial 16S ribosomal RNA". It matches the Rfam family "Bacterial small subunit ribosomal RNA", at positions 524 to 776 of the family's 1533-position model. The record is from RNAcentral.
GACAGAGGGUGCAAACGUUGUUCGGAAUUACUGGGCGUAAAGCGUGUGUAGGCGGCCAUGUAAGUCAGGUGUGAAAGCCCCGGGCUCAACCCGGGAAGUGCACUUGAUACUGCGUGGCUUGAGUACUGGAGAGGUUGGUGGAAUUCUCGGUGUAGAGGUGAAAUUCGUAGAUAUUCGGAAGAACACCAGUGGCGAAGGCGACUUACUGGACGAUUGUUGACGCUGAGGUGCGAAAGCGUGGGGAGCAAACAGG